CUCCCUAGCUCUCUCACCUCCCGUUCCGGCCGGCCAGUACUGUCCAGUACCGGCCCUCUCUCUCUCUCUCUCUCUCUCUCUCUCUCUCUAGCUCUCUCUCUCUCUCAGCUCUCGCCACUGUCCCCCGCCACUGCACAGCCCUCGCGUCCGUUCAAGGUACACGUACAAGCUUGCACUACAAAAAUCACUAUAAACAUGGACAAGUCUUGGAUGUCAACACCUAGGGGUACGACACGGUAUAACGAUGGGUGUAGGGCGUUUGUGGCAUUUGCCGUUAGUAAUUGUACGGCCGGCGAUGGAAAAAUUUACUGCCCAUGCAAGUAUUGUCGAAAUAACCAGCGUCACACUCCUGAGUACGUUCUUGCCCACCUGACUGGAGGUCGGGGGAUGAAUCCGGGAUACAAUUUGUGGUAUAUGCACGGUGAGACUACGACUGGU
This is a long non-coding RNA of Alnus glutinosa, 438 nucleotides long. RefSeq lists it as uncharacterized. NCBI's taxonomy places the organism in Eukaryota, Viridiplantae, Streptophyta, Magnoliopsida, Fagales, Betulaceae. The record is from RefSeq and is a predicted model, not a curated record. The transcript is spliced from 3 exons.